Paraburkholderia caribensis is the source of this 182-nucleotide non-coding RNA. The record is from Rfam. Lineage: Bacteria; Pseudomonadati; Pseudomonadota; Betaproteobacteria; Burkholderiales; Burkholderiaceae.
CCGCCCCUCAUUGGGGAGUAGCCGCCCCGCGUCAUGCCCGCGCUACGGUCCAGCUUCUGGCCGGCGAGCGCAGCGUGCGUGACCUGCGGGGGCGCCUGUCAACAGACUUGGCCGUAUGGCCAUGGCAGACGCAGCCUCUGGCCUGGCGAGACCGAUGAUCCACCACCGCCGCUUUAGGGCCC